Molecule: ribosomal RNA, 255 nt
Filed under: uncultured bacterium
Lineage: Bacteria
Description: partial 16S ribosomal RNA
Rfam family: Bacterial small subunit ribosomal RNA
Source: RNAcentral
UACGGGGGGAGCAAGCGUUGUUCGGAUUUACUGGGCGUAAAGGGCGCGUAGGCGGCCUCUGCAAGUCGACUGUGAAAUCUCCGGGCUUAACCCGGAAAGGUCAGCCGAUACUGCAGGGCUAGAGUGCAGAAGGGGCAACUGGAAUUCUCGGUGUAGCGGUGAAAUGCGUAGAUAUCGAGAGGAACACCUGCGGCGAAGGCGGGUUGCUGGGCUGACACUGACGCUGACAGCGCGAAAGCUAGGGGAGCGAACGGG